Molecule: ribosomal RNA, 503 nt
Filed under: uncultured bacterium
Lineage: Bacteria
Description: partial 16S ribosomal RNA
Rfam family: Bacterial small subunit ribosomal RNA
Source: RNAcentral
AUUGAACGCUGGCGGCAGGCUUAACACAUGCAAGUCGAGCGGGGUGAUGGUGCUUGCACUAUCACUUAGCGGCGGACGGGUGAGUAAUGCUUAGGAAUCUGCCUAUUAGUGGGGGACAACAUCUCGAAAGGGAUGCUAAUACCGCAUACGUCAUACGGGAGAAAGCAGGGGAUCACUUGUGACCUUGCGCUAAUAGAUGAGCCUAAGUCGGAUUAGCGAGUUGGUGGGGUAAAGGCCUACCAAGGCGACGAUCUGUAGCGGGUCUGAGAGGAUGAUCCGCCACACUGGGACUGAGACACGGCCCAGACUCCUACGGGAGGCAGCAGUGGGGAAUAUUGGACAAUGGGGGGAACCCUGAUCCAGCCAUGCCGCGUGUGUGAAGAAGGCCUUAUGGUUGUAAAGCACUUUAAGCGAGGAGGAGGCUCUUUUGGUUAAUACCCAAGAUGAGUGGACGUUACUCGCAGAAUAAGCACCGGCUAACUCUGUGCCAGCAGCCGCCGCGG